This is a non-coding RNA of Peniophora sp. CONT, 100 nucleotides long. Lineage: Eukaryota; Fungi; Basidiomycota; Agaricomycetes; Russulales; Peniophoraceae. The record is from Rfam.
GGCUCAAUGGUCUAGUCGUAUGAUUCCUGCUUCGGGUCUAUCCCGUACGAUUCCCGUACUCGCAUGCAGGAGGUCCCGGGUUCAAUUCCCGGUUGAGCCC